This 267-nucleotide non-coding RNA is filed under the name Dorea sp. RNAcentral's name for it is "T-box sequence". It matches the Rfam family "T-box leader". From Rfam's summary of the family: Uncharged tRNA acts as the effector for transcription antitermination of genes in the T-box leader family. T-boxes are found upstream of many aminoacyl-tRNA synthetase genes and some amino acid biosynthetic genes usually in Gram-positive bacteria. Lineage: Bacteria; Bacillati; Bacillota; Clostridia; Lachnospirales; Lachnospiraceae. The record is from RNAcentral.
AAAAAACCGUUGAGAAAGAAGAGUAGCUUAUUACGUGACAUUCCAGAGAACAGCAGGUGGUGGGAUUGCUGUAUGAAGCAGAUAAGUGAAUGGCCUUUCGAGGGCAGGCUGAAAUUCUUGUUUCGUACAGGAGUGAGAAGAGUAGGACUUGUCGGGAACCGAACCCGUUAUCAAUCAGGAGUGUAUGUUAGUACAUGAGAAAGUGGACAAUUCGUCAAUUUGAGUGGUACCGCGAUAAUAAUAAUUUUAAUUAUUACCGUCUCAAAC